CACCUGACCCCAUGCCGAACUCAGAAGUGAAACGCCGUAGCGCCGAUGGUAGUGUGGGGUCUCCCCAUGUGAGAGUAGGGAACUGCCA
RNAcentral lists this ribosomal RNA (88 nucleotides) under Klebsiella pneumoniae. The record is from RNAcentral. Lineage: Bacteria; Pseudomonadati; Pseudomonadota; Gammaproteobacteria; Enterobacterales; Enterobacteriaceae.